Non-coding RNA from Camellia sinensis, 1393 nucleotides. NCBI's taxonomy places the organism in Eukaryota, Viridiplantae, Streptophyta, Magnoliopsida, Ericales, Theaceae. The record is from RefSeq and is a predicted model, not a curated record.
GAGCGAUUGCAAUCAACUUUUCUUUGGGGUGGCUCUGACCAUGGAAGAAAAGUUCAUAUGGUCUGAUGGGAGGUGAUUACUAAAAAUAAGAAACUAGGUGGGUUAGGUGCAAGGAGGAUUAAAACUUUGAAUCAAUGUCUACUAUUAAAAUGGUAGUGGAGAUUUGGUGUUGAGAAUCAAUCGCUUUGGAAUGAAGUGAUUUGUGCCAAAUAUGUGCCUGUGGAUGGUAGAUGGUUCCCAAAACUAACUGGCAGAGGAUCAAAGCUCUGGACUGAUAUAGUACAUGUCAUUUUAUCCAAUCCUGAGCUAUACCAAUUUUAUAUUACUAAUUCUUAGUUGGUUCUGAGGGACGAGAGAAGAGUUCUUUUUUUGAGAGACAAGUGGGUGGGUAAUGUAUGCUUAAUGGAUGAAUUCCCAAGGCUUUUCUUAUUAUCUAAUGAUAAAAAUGGUGUGGUUAGUGUGUUUUUUGAAAGAAGGGUAGAGGCUAGUAGAUGGAACCUGCGAUUUAGAAGAUCUUUGCUGGUCUGGAAAGAGGAAGAAGCCCAUAGACUAUUCAAUCUCCUGAGCUCUGCCCCAACUCUGUGUAGUUCCAGACCAGAUGAGCUUAAAUGGUGUGAAGAACCAUCUAAGCUUUUUACUGUCUUUUCAGUAUAUAAAUGGACUGAAUCAUUUCUAGGACCUGUAGUACCAGUGGCUGCUUCAAUUUGGAACAACUUUGCGCCCCCAAAAGUGCAAUUCUUUGUGUGGUUGGUUUGGCUUGGCAAGGUUAAAACCUCUUAUUUCCUUCAUCGAAUUGGUAUCUUUGCAGAAAGUGAAAAUCUUGGCUGUGUGUUUUGUCGUAAUGAGGUGAACAUAGUGAAACAUAUUUUGAUUUUCUGCCCUUUUGUGUGGCUGCUUUGGUCCGACAUUAUACACUAGUGGGGAUUGCAGUGGGUGAUACCAGGUUCAAUGAAUGGUUUGUUGCAAUGGUGGUUUGGAUGUAGAAUGCAGAAGCUGGUGAAGAAAAUAUGGAUGGUUAUAUCUUUGGCCACUCUCUAGUCCACAUGGAAGCAUAGAAAUGAUUGUAUUUUAACCGUACUCAACCAAAUUUGGAAGCUCUGCGUGAAUUAGUGAAGGUGAAGUACUGCAUCAGGAAUGGAGGUUAGAGGCUAGAGGUUGAAUAAUGAUUGGUGCUUGGAAGCAGGGCUACUGGCUGGAGGGUGUCUACUUGUCUGGCUGCUGUGGCUGGCUUACUGGUAGUUGCUGACUUUUGUAGAAUGUCUGAAGGGUUACUUUGCUUUGAAUUGUUUGGCCAAUUAGUCAAGGUUGAAGGGCUGCCUGUUGCUUUGAGUUGCUUUGAUCAAUUGGGAUAGAGUCCAAGGCAGUGUAGAUGUGUUGCUCUGCUGGUUUCAGG